This 467-nucleotide ribosomal RNA is filed under the name uncultured bacterium. Its description in RNAcentral is "partial 16S ribosomal RNA". It matches the Rfam family "Bacterial small subunit ribosomal RNA", at positions 28 to 507 of the family's 1533-position model. The record is from RNAcentral.
GACGAACGCUGGCGGCGUGCUUAACACAUGCAAGUCGAACGGAAAGGCCCUGCUUUUGUGGGGUGCUCGAGUGGCGAACGGGUGAGUAACACGUGAGUAACCUGCCCUUGACUUUGGGAUAACUUCAGGAAACUGGGGCUAAUACCGGAUAGGAGCUCCUGCUGCAUGGUGGGGGUUGGAAAGUUUCGGCGGUUGGGGAUGGACUCGCGGUUAUCAGCUUGUUGGUGGGGUAGUGGCUUACCAAGGCUUUGACGGGUAGCCGGCCUGAGAGGGUGACCGGCCACAUUGGGACUGAGAUACGGCCCAGACUCCUACGGGAGGCAGCAGUGGGGAAUAUUGCACAAUGGGCGGAAGCCUGAUGCAGCAACGCCGCGUGCGGGAUGACGGCCUUCGGGUUGUAAACCGCUUUCGCCUGUGACGAAGCGUGAGUGACGGUAAUGGGUAAAGAAGCACCGGCUAACUACGUG